Molecule: transfer RNA, 77 nt
Filed under: Thiothrix lacustris
Lineage: Bacteria; Pseudomonadati; Pseudomonadota; Gammaproteobacteria; Thiotrichales; Thiotrichaceae
Description: tRNA-His
Rfam family: tRNA
About the family: Transfer RNA (tRNA) molecules are approximately 80 nucleotides in length. Their secondary structure includes four short double-helical elements and three loops (D, anti-codon, and T loops).
Source: RNAcentral
GUGGUCUGUAGCUCAGUUGGUAGAGCACUGGAUUGUGAUUCCGGUGGUCGUGGGUUCGAGUCCCAUCAGCCACCCCA